This 254-nucleotide ribosomal RNA is filed under the name uncultured bacterium. Its description in RNAcentral is "partial 16S ribosomal RNA". It matches the Rfam family "Bacterial small subunit ribosomal RNA", at positions 524 to 776 of the family's 1533-position model. The record is from RNAcentral.
UACGUAGGGGGCCAGCGUUGCUCGGAAUUACUGGGCGUAAAGGGUUCGUAGGUGGUGCGGUAAGUCACCUGUGAAAUCUCCUGGCUCAACUGGGAGCUUGCAGGCGAAACUGCCGUGCUGGAGUGUGGGAGAGGUGCGUGGAAUUCCUGGUGUAGCGGUGAAAUGCGUAGAUAUCAGGAGGAACACCUGUGGCGAAGGCGGCUACCUGGACGAGAUACUGACGCUGAGGCGCGAGAGCGUGGGGAGCAAACAGG